GGGUUGUGAGGUUAAGCGACUAAGCGUACACGGUGGAUGCCCUGGCAGUCAGAGGCGAUGAAGGACGUGCUAAUCUGCGAUAAGCGUCGGUAAGGUGAUAUGAACCGUUAUAACCGGCGAUUUCCGAAUGGGGAAACCCAGUGUGAUUCGUCACACUAUCAUUAACUGAAUCCAUAGGUUAAUGAGGCGAACCGGGGGAACUGAAACAUCUAAGUACCCCGAGGAAAAGAAAUCAACCGAGAUUCCCCCAGUAGCGGCGAGCGAACGGGGAGCAGCCCAGAGUCUGAAUCAGUGUGUGUGUUAGUGGAAGCGUCUGGAAAGGCGCGCGAUACAGGGUGACAGCCCCGUACACAAAAAUGCACAUGCUGUGAGCUCGAUGAGUAGGGCGGGACACGUGGUAUCCUGUCUGAAUAUGGGGGGACCAUCCUCCAAGGCUAAAUACUCCUGACUGACCGAUAGUGAACCAGUACCGUGAGGGAAAGGCGAAAAGAACCCCGGCGAGGGGAGUGAAAAAGAACCUGAAACCGUGUACGUACAAGCAGUGGGAGCACGCUUAGGCGUGUGACCGCGUACCUUUUGUAUAAUGGGUCAGCGACUUAUAUUCUGUAGCAAGGUUAACCGAAUAGGGGAGCCGAAGGGAAACCGAGUCUUAACUGGGCGUUAAGUUGCAGGGUAUAGACCCGAAACCCGGUGAUCUAGCCAUGGGCAGGUUGAAGGUUGGGUAACACUAACUGGAGGACCGAACCGACUAAUGUUGAAAAAUUAGCGGAUGACUUGUGGCUGGGGGUGAAAGGCCAAUCAAACCGGGAGAUAGCUGGUUCUCCCCGAAAGCUAUUUAGGUAGCGCCUCGUGAACUCAUCUCCGGGGGUAGAGCACUGUUUCGGCAAGGGGGUCAUCCCGACUUACCAACCCGAUGCAAACUGCGAAUACCGGAGAAUGUUAUCACGGGAGACACACGGCGGGUGCUAACGUCCGUCGUGAAGAGGGAAACAACCCAGACCGCCAGCUAAGGUCCCAAAGUCAUGGUUAAGUGGGAAACGAUGUGGGAAGGCCCAGACAGCCAGGAUGUUGGCUUAGAAGCAGCCAUCAUUUAAAGAAAGCGUAAUAGCUCACUGGUCGAGUCGGCCUGCGCGGAAGAUGUAACGGGGCUAAACCAUGCACCGAAGCUGCGGCAACGACGCUUAUGCGUUGUUGGGUAGGGGAGCGUUCUGUAAGCCUGUGAAGGUGUGCUGUGAGGCAUGCUGGAGGUAUCAGAAGUGCGAAUGCUGACAUAAGUAACGAUAAAGCGGGUGAAAAGCCCGCUCGCCGGAAGACCAAGGGUUCCUGUCCAACGUUAAUCGGGGCAGGGUGAGUCGACCCCUAAGGCGAGGCCGAAAGGCGUAGUCGAUGGGAAACAGGUUAAUAUUCCUGUACUUGGUGUUACUGCGAAGGGGGGACGGAGAAGGCUAUGUUGGCCGGGCGACGGUUGUCCCGGUUUAAGCGUGUAGGCUGGUUUUCCAGGCAAAUCCGGAAAAUCAAGGCUGAGGCGUGAUGACGAGGCACUACGGUGCUGAAGCAACAAAUGCCCUGCUUCCAGGAAAAGCCUCUAAGCAUCAGGUAACAUCAAAUCGUACCCCAAACCGACACAGGUGGUCAGGUAGAGAAUACCAAGGCGCUUGAGAGAACUCGGGUGAAGGAACUAGGCAAAAUGGUGCCGUAACUUCGGGAGAAGGCACGCUGAUAUGUAGGUGAGGUCCCUCGCGGAUGGAGCUGAAAUCAGUCGAAGAUACCAGCUGGCUGCAACUGUUUAUUAAAAACACAGCACUGUGCAAACACGAAAGUGGACGUAUACGGUGUGACGCCUGCCCGGU
This 1850-nucleotide ribosomal RNA is filed under the name Escherichia coli. RNAcentral describes it as "partial 23S ribosomal RNA". It matches the Rfam family "Bacterial large subunit ribosomal RNA", at positions 1 to 1867 of the family's 2925-position model. The record is from RNAcentral. Lineage: Bacteria; Pseudomonadati; Pseudomonadota; Gammaproteobacteria; Enterobacterales; Enterobacteriaceae.